UCAAGCUCAAGCCUUCUACUGUGGCUGUUUGCGUUCCCCGGGCCAUGCCAGCAGUC
This 56-nucleotide non-coding RNA is filed under the name Alexandrium minutum. Lineage: Eukaryota; Dinophyceae; Gonyaulacales; Pyrocystaceae. The record is from RNAcentral.